UGCAGCCUUGUCAAAUUCAGAACGUCCAUUUCAGUUGACUGUUCUGGCCAAAUGGCUGCCAUAGUACAAUGGUAGUUCAUGGGCCCCACUUCGCAUGAAUGAUGGGGAUAAUUUUUUUGCUACCUACAUUU
Molecule: small nucleolar RNA, 131 nt
Organism: Scleropages formosus (Asian bonytongue)
Lineage: Eukaryota; Metazoa; Chordata; Actinopteri; Osteoglossiformes; Osteoglossidae
Product: small nucleolar RNA SNORA5
Source: Ensembl